AGCAAACGCUGGCGGCGUGCCUAAUACAUGCAAGUCGAACGGGGAAAGUAGCAAUACGAGUACUAGUGGCGCACGGGUGAGGAACACGUGGGUAAUCUGCCUUCGAGCGGGGGAUAACUAAUCGAAAGAUUGGCUAAUACCGCAUAAGACCACAAGAUCUGCGGAUCUAGGGGUCAAAGCCGCAAGGCACUUGAAGAUGAGCCCGCGUAAGAUUAGCUAGUUGGUGAGGUAACGGCUCACCAAGGCGAUGAUCUUUAGCUGGUCUGGGAGGAUGAUCAGCCACACUGGAACUGAGACACAGUCCAGACUCCUACGGGAGGCAGCAGUAGGGAAUAUUGCGCAAUGGGGGCAACCCUGACGCAGCGACGCCGCGUGAGUGAUGAAGGCCUUCGGGUCGUAAAGCUCUGUUAUAUGGGAAUAAGAUCUGAAUGUACCAUGUGAGAAAGGACCGGCUAACUUCGUGCCAGCCGCCGCGGUAA
RNAcentral lists this ribosomal RNA (479 nucleotides) under uncultured bacterium. RNAcentral's name for it is "partial 16S ribosomal RNA". It matches the Rfam family "Bacterial small subunit ribosomal RNA", at positions 29 to 523 of the family's 1533-position model. The record is from RNAcentral.